Molecule: ribosomal RNA, 253 nt
Filed under: uncultured bacterium
Lineage: Bacteria
Description: partial 16S ribosomal RNA
Rfam family: Bacterial small subunit ribosomal RNA
Source: RNAcentral
UACGUAGGGCGCAAGCGUUAUCCGGAAUUAUUGGGCGUAAAGAGCUCGUAGGCGGUUUGUCGCGUCUGCCGUGAAAGUCGGGGGCUCAACCCUCGGAUGCCGGUGGAUACUGUCGGGCUCGAGUACGGAAGAGGCGAGUGGAAUUCCUGGUGUAGCGGUGAAAUGCGCAGAUAUCAGGAGGAACACCGGUGGCGAAGGCGGGUCUCUGGGCCGAUACUGACGCUGAGGAGCGAAAGCGUGGGGAGCGAACAGG